RNAcentral lists this ribosomal RNA (496 nucleotides) under uncultured bacterium. RNAcentral's name for it is "partial 16S ribosomal RNA". It matches the Rfam family "Bacterial small subunit ribosomal RNA", at positions 29 to 507 of the family's 1533-position model. The record is from RNAcentral.
AUGAACGCUGGCGGCGUGCCUAAUACCUGCAAGUCGAGCGAACAGACGAGGAGCUUGCUCCUCUGACGUUAGCGGCGGACGGGUGAGUAACACGUGGAUAACCUACCUAUAAGACUGGGGUAACUUCGGGAAACCGGAGCUAAUACCGGAUAAUAUAUUGAACCGCAUGGUUCAAUAGUGAAAGACGGUUUUGCUGUCACUUAUAGAUGGAUCCGCGCCGCAUUAGCUAGUUGGUAAGGUAACGGCUUACCAAGGCAACGAUGCGUAGCCGACCUGAGAGGGUGAUCGGCCACACUGGAACUGAGACACGGUCCAGACUCCUACGGGAGGCAGCAGUAGGGAAUCUUCCGCAAAGGGCGAAAGCCUGACGGAGCAACCCCGCGUGAGUGAUGAAGGUCUUCGGAUCGUAAAACUCUGUUAUUAGGGAAGAACAAAUGUGUAAGUAACUAUGCACGUCUUGACGGUACCUAAUCAGAAAGCCACGGCUAACUACGUG